CGUGGGGUAAUCCGAAACGUUUUUGUUGCGGAAUUUGGUACUCAGGCUGAUAGGGCUAGAGUGAUCGAGGGUUCGCCAUGGAUGGUGGGAAAGCAUGCGGUGCUCCUGAAGAUUUUUGACCAGAAUAUUCAGCCCCUUUAGGUUCAGUUUGAUCGCUUAGCGAUCUGGGCUCGCAUUAUGCAUCUCCCACCGAGACUGAUGAAAGCUAAGCUGAGAAUGGAGUUUGCCAAACCGGUUGGGCGGAUUUUGAGGAUGGAUUCAGAUGCUGAUGGUCGCUGUUGGGGUGGUUUCAUGAAGGUGAGGACGGAGAUUGAUGUUCGUGAGCCGAUCGUCCGCUACAUCACUGUGGCCUCUCUCAAAUUGAAGAGUACUGAAACUUUCUCUGUGAUGUAUGAGAGGCUGUCGUUCUUCUGCUUCUCUUGUGGCAUCCUUGGUCAUUCCACGAUUAUGUGUCCUACUCCAGGUUUGAGGGAUGAAAACGGUGAUCUUCUUUAUGCCGCCAAGAGACUGUGUGUCAAUGAUGAGCAUCCUCGGAGAUCCGGGGGUUUAAGGUCUAGCAUGGCUUCGUCUUCGGCUCAUGGGGCUGGUGUUGGUGGUUUUGGUAAUUCUCAGACUGCCGCCCCAGGCCGCGGUGUAUCACGUGCACCCGUUGGAAUGGAUGUUAUUGUGGGGGAGAUCUCACCUCCUAUCAAACAAGGGGGCUGCUCGUGGCCGUGGGCGUUCUUCACGGGGUCGUGGUAG
RNAcentral lists this ribosomal RNA (741 nucleotides) under Triticum aestivum (bread wheat). RNAcentral's name for it is "partial small subunit ribosomal RNA". The record is from RNAcentral. Lineage: Eukaryota; Viridiplantae; Streptophyta; Magnoliopsida; Poales; Poaceae.